AUGAUAGGCUUUAUUUUUACAGUUAUUGUCCACAUCUAUAUGGUAGGCUUUAUUUUUGUACUUAUAGCUUCAAAUAUAACAGUUAUACUACUCUUCGGAACAUCUGCAGGACUAAAGAGCACACCCAUAUACUUGCCACAUCUAUAUGCCCAUUUCUAUAUGGUAGACUUUAUUUUUGCAGUUAUAGCUUAAAAUGGAACAGUUAUACUGCUCACUGGAAUAUCUGUAAGGCUAAAGAGCACACCCAUAUACCUGCCACAUCUAUAUGUCC
Molecule: long non-coding RNA, 271 nt
Filed under: Ananas comosus (pineapple)
Lineage: Eukaryota; Viridiplantae; Streptophyta; Magnoliopsida; Poales; Bromeliaceae
Description: long non-coding RNA (ACOM_LNC022299)
Source: RNAcentral